RNAcentral lists this small nuclear RNA (298 nucleotides) under Heterocephalus glaber (naked mole-rat). RNAcentral's name for it is "7SK RNA". It matches the Rfam family "7SK RNA". From Rfam's summary of the family: 7SK was discovered as an abundant small nuclear RNA in the mid-70s but a possible function has only recently been suggested. Two independent studies have found that 7SK RNA binds the CDK9/cyclin T complex (known as elongation factor P-TEFb). P-TEFb activates transcription by phosphorylating the C-terminal domain of RNA polymerase II. The record is from Rfam by way of RNAcentral. Lineage: Eukaryota; Metazoa; Chordata; Mammalia; Rodentia; Bathyergidae.
AGAUGUGAGAGUGAUCUGGCUGUGACAUCUGUCACCCGACUGGUUCCCAGGCUGACCCACUGAUCUGGCUGGCUGAGCCGUGCCCCUUCCUCCCUCAAUGCUCCAAAAGUGUCCUCCCGAAGCUGAACACUCAAUGAAGAGGACAAGCUUUCCUAAUAGAAGAGGACCAUACUUUGCUAAGGGCUAUACAAGGAGCUGUGCUCCACUGCUAGAACCUCCAAACAAGCUCUCAAAAAGUAUUAAGGAGAUAACAAAGAUUCACCUAAAUUUAAAUAGAGGAUUUCAGAUUGAAGGGCUU